This is an RNA transcript of Anolis carolinensis (green anole), 3479 nucleotides long. It is a transcript of the gene named kinesin light chain 3, with no coding region annotated. The record is from RefSeq and is a predicted model, not a curated record. NCBI's taxonomy places the organism in Eukaryota, Metazoa, Chordata, Lepidosauria, Squamata, Anolidae. The transcript is spliced from 11 exons.
GGGAGGGCGAGUGGGAGGCUGGGGUGGCCACUGCGAGGCUCCUGCCAAGGCUCCGGAUCCGGCACACCUGGCCAGCCUCCCUCAGGUGAGCGGAGCCUCCUGGGCCCUUCCUCCCCCUGCACAGACCUCCAAGGCAGCUCCAGCCUGGACACCUGACUCUUGCAGGGCCCUGAAGCGUGGACACAUUCGGCGUCCAAAGCCCUGCCUGCGGCCAACCGGACCAUGUCCAUGCUGGUGGCGUUGGGCGACUCGGAGCGCAUGGCGGCCGAAGACAUCAUGCUCAACACGCGGCAGGUGAUGAAGGGCCUGGAGGCCUUGCGCAGCGAGCACCGGGGCCUGCGCCAGCGGCUGGAGGAGGCCCUGCUGACCGAGCGGCGCCUGCAGGACCAGCGGGAGGAGGCCGCGGCCGCGGAGGAGCAGGCGCUGGACGGACCGGCCUUGGAGCUGCUGGAGGAGAAGCACGACCUGGUCCGGAAGAGCCUGGAAGGCCUCGAGCUGGGCAUCGCGGAGGCGCAGAUGAUGGUGGCGCUGUCCUCGCACAUCGGGGCGCUGGAGGCGGAGAAGCAGAAGCUGCGUGCGCAGGUCAAGCGCUUGUGCCAGGAGAACCUCUGGCUGCGGGACGAGUUGGCCGUGACGCAGCUGCGGCUUCAGCAGAGCGAGGAGGCCGUGGCCCAGCUGGACGAGGAGAAGAAGCACCUGGAGUUCCUCAACCAGCUCAAGCAGUACGACCCCAAGGACGACCAGGCAGAGAAAGACGACUUGGAGCAGAGGAAGGAUAGCCUAUCAUCCUUAUUCCCCAGCGAUGAAGAUGAGCAGAGGCCAGGAGGACCGGGACCGACGGCCGCGGCCGUAUCGGCAGCCCAGCAAGGCGGCUACGAGAUCCCGGCGCGGCUCCGGACGCUGCACAACCUGGUCAUCCAAUACGCCUCGCAAGGGCGCUACGAGGUGGCCGUCCCGCUUUGCAAGCAGGCGCUGGAGGACCUGGAGAAGAGCUCCGGCCACAGCCACCCGGACGUGGCCACCAUGCUCAACAUCCUGGCCCUGGUGUACAGGGACCAGAACAAGUACAAGGAAGCCACAGAGCUACUCAACGAUGCCCUGGAUAUUCGGGAGCAGACGCUCGGGGUGGAACACCCUGCGGUGGCUGCUACCUUGAACAAUUUGGCCGUCCUCUAUGGCAAAAGGGCCAAGUAUAAGGAAGCCGAGCCUCUGUGCAAAAGGGCCUUGGAGAUCCGGGAGAAGGUCCUGGGCAUGGACCACCCCGACGUGGCCAAGCAGCUCAACAACCUGGCCCUUUUGUGCCAGAACCAGGGCAAAUUCGACGAAGUGGAGCAGUACUACCAGCGGGCCCUGCGCAUCUACCAGACCCGCCUUGGCCCCGACGACCCCAACGUCGCCAAGACCAAGAACAACCUGGCGUCUUCCUACCUGAAACAAGGCAAGUACCAGCAGGCAGAGGAGCUCUACAAGGAGAUCCUGUCUUCGCAGGACUCGGAACUCGCCUCCAGCCGGAACGAUGAGAACCGGUUGGGCACCGGAGGGAGUUUGCACCUGAGCCAGGUACGGUCCCGGUCCAUUUACGGGAAGCCAAGCCCUGAUGACCUCGUGCAUUUCCUUUGCGCCAAAAUAUUACAUUUUCAAAACAAGUUUAAAAGUAAAAUAAUAAAGAAACACAGAUCUAAAAGGAUCCAAUAUACUUCCACCACCAUGAGGGAUGGGGAGCUAGUGGUGAAGUGGAGUGAAUCUUUUUUCGCCCCAUCUUUUGCUAAGCAAUCAGACAGUUUUACAUUAUUAUUAUUAUUAUUAUUUAUUAUGACACAGCAGACAAGACAGAUAUGCUGGAUUUCGUAUCAUAAAAUCACAAGUCGAACACUUCCCAAGUGUCUAGGACUGUGUGAUGUAUUUUCGGAUGAUGAAUUAUUAUUAUUAUUAUUAUUAUUAUUAUUAUUAUUAUUAUUAUUAUGUUUAUCUGUCAGCUUUACCUCUUGCAAGCAUUCUAACAGUUUUGCCUUUUUGCAAAGCAUUCCAAAAAAAAUUGCCUUUUGCAAAGCAAUGGGACAGUUCUGCCAUUUUACAAAGCCAUUGGUCAGUUUUGCCAUUCGAAAAGCCAUCCAUCAGUUUGGCCUUUUGCUAAGCAAUGGCACCGUUUUCCCUUCUGCAAAGCCAUCGGUCAGUUUGGCCUUUUGCAAAGCAAUAGGACAUUUUUACCUUCUGCAAAGCCAUUGGUCAGUUUUGCCAUUUGCAAAGCAAUAUGACACUUUUACCUUUUGCAAAGCCAUUGGUCAGUUUUGCCAUUUGCAAAGCAAUGGGACAGUUUUACCUUUUGCAAAGCCAUCAGUCAGUUGGGCCUUUUGCAAAGCAUUGGGACAGUUUUACCUUUUGCAAAGUCAAUGGUCAGUUUUGUCAUUUACAAAGCAAUAGGACACAUUUAUCUUUUGCAAAGCCAUCGGUCAGUUUGGCCUUUUGCUAAGCAAUGGCACCGUUUUCCCUUUUGCAAAGCCAUCGGUCAGUUUGGCCUUUUGCAAAGCAAUAGGACAUUUUUACCUUCUGCAAAGCCAUUGGUCAGUUUUGCCAUUUGCAAAGCAAUAUGACACUUUUACCUUUUGCAAAGCCAUUGGUCAGUUUUGCCAUUUGCAAAGCAAUGGGACAGUUUUACCUUUUGCAAAGUCAAUGGUCAGUUUUGUCAUUUACAAAGCAAUAGGACACAUUUAUCUUUUGCAAAGCCAUCGGUCAGUUUGGCCUUUUGCUAAGCAAUGGCAUAGUUUUCCCUUUUGCAAAGCCAUCGGUCAGUUCUGCCAUUUUUAAAGCAAUAGGACACAUUUAUCUUCUGCAAAGCCAUUGGUCAGUUGGGCCUUUUGCAAAGCAUUGGGACAGCUUUACCUUUUGCAAAGUCAAUGGUCAGUUUUGCCUUUUGCAAAACAUUGGGACAGUUUUACUUUUUGCAAAGCCAUCGGUCAGUUUUGCCAUUUUUAAAGCAAUAGGACACUUUUAUCUUUUGCAAAGCCAUCAGUCAGUUUUCCCUUUUGCAAAGCCAUCAGUCAGUUUUCCCUUUUGUAAAGCCAUCGGUCAGUUUUCCCUUUUGUAAAGCCAUUGGUCAGUUUUCCCUUUUGCAUCAGCAACCCUAUAGGACAACCCUAUAGUUAUGUGGGACUAUAACUCCCAUCAUCCCACCAGAAGUAAUGGGAACCACAGUUCCAUAUCCACCUGCUCAUGCAAUGAGAUUGGGGGGGGGGGGGGAUGCUUCCAUGGCUUGGGCUCAGAAAUAUCCACUAGUAAAAGUAGGGUCCCCGUCCUUCCUGCCACCCCAAAGCCUGUCUCUUUCUUUCCCAGGAUGCCUUGGGGAGCUUCCGGCGCAGCAGCUCUUUCUCUCGCUUCCGGGAGUCCCUUCGGCGCGGCAGCGAAAAGCUGGUCUCCAAACUGAGGGGGGACGGGGUUCGGAGGGUGCCCCCCUCCACCGGGAUGAAGCGGGCCACCUCCCU